CGGCAGGAAACGCAAGUUGUGUAAUAGCUCGAUCUUAACACUGGGGGCCGAAGAAACUUUUUCCCGUAGAAGAGUGUGUAACCAGUUGGUGGGCAGCAGUUUUUAGGAAGCUGAAUCUCAAAGGUCCAUAGCAGGCCAGAUCUCGCAUGACCACCCCUGUGUUCUUCUCCCGUAACUGUACAUUCAGCUUCCCCUGCACUUUCCCAAGAGCAACAGAAAAAAAGCAAAUGCCAGAAAUGUAUUCUCUCCCAGUUCUGGAUCAGUCUGAAAUCAAAGUGCCAUCUGGGCCAUGCUCCUGCUGACAGACCUAGAGGAGACUACUCCCCAUUUCUUCUGGUGGCUGUCAGGAGAGAAGGAGGGAAAUGGAAUAGAGGAAAAACUUUAAGAUGAAGAAAAAUAACAUGCCCUAAGCCCUGUGUCAAUCACUGUUCUCCAGAGAAACAACUGAUAGGAUAUGGGUGCAUGUGCCUGUUUUUUUUUUUUUCUGUGUGUGUGUGUAUGUGUGUGUGUGUGUGUGUGUAUUCAUUUUAAGAAAUUGGUUUAUGUGAUUAUGGGGGCUUAUUGAAUGUAAAAUUUGUAGGGCAGGCCAGCAGGCUGGGAGCUAGGCAGACGUUAAUGCUGCAAUCUUGAGGCAUAAUUCCUUUUCUGAAGCCCUAACCCCCUCAAUGCCUCAGAAUGUGACUGUAUUGGAGAUAGGGCCUUUACAGAGGUAAUUAGGUUAAAACGAGACCAUCAGCAUGGGCUGUGAUCCAGUCUAACUGGUGUCUUCAUAAGAAAGAGAGAUGAGGACAUGCAACCAGGGGGAUGUGUGUAGAGAGGAUGACCUUGUGAAGAGACAGUAAGAGGAUGGCCAUGUGUAAGCCAAGGAGAGGGGCCUCAAGAAACCAACCCUGUUCUGACACUAGGAGCAUGACAAAUAAAUUCCUGUUGU
Molecule: long non-coding RNA, 931 nt
Organism: Pongo pygmaeus (Bornean orangutan)
Lineage: Eukaryota; Metazoa; Chordata; Mammalia; Primates; Hominidae
Exons: 3
Source: RefSeq, a predicted model, not a curated record